AAUAUUGGACAAUGGGCGCAAGCCUGAUCCAGCCAUACCGCGUGUGUGAAGUAGGUCUUCGGAUUGUAAAGCACUGUAAUUUGGGAGGAAGGGCAGUUAACGAAUACUUACUUGUUUUGACGUUACCAACAGAAUAAGCACCCGCUAACUUCGUUCCAGCAGCCGUGGUAAUACGAAGGGUGGUAGCUUUAAUCGGAAUUAAUGGGCUUAAAGCGCGCGUAGGUGGUUCGUUAAGUUGGAAGUGAAAGCCCCGGGCUCAACCUGGGAAUUGCUUUCAAAACUGGCGGGCUAGAGUACGGUAGAGGGUGGUGGAAUUUCCUGUGUAGCGGUGAAAUGCGUAGAUAUAGGAAGGAACAUCAGUGGCGAAGGCGACCACCUGGACUGAUACUGACACUGAGGUGCGAAAGCGUGGGGAGCAAACAGG
This 424-nucleotide ribosomal RNA is filed under the name uncultured bacterium. RNAcentral describes it as "partial 16S ribosomal RNA". It matches the Rfam family "Bacterial small subunit ribosomal RNA", at positions 360 to 776 of the family's 1533-position model. The record is from RNAcentral.